GAUGAAGAACGUAGCGAAAUGCGAUAAGUAGUGUGAAUUGCAGAAUUCAGUGAAUCAUCGAAUCUUUGAACGCACAUUGCGCCCUUUGGUAUUCCUUAGGGCAUGCCUGUUCGAGCGUCAUUCAAACCUUCAAGCUAAGCUUGGUGUUGGGUGACUGUCCGCUUCACGGCGGACUCGCCUCAAAAUUAUUGGCGGCCGGUACAUUGGCUUCGAGCGCAGCAGAAACGCGAACUCGGGCCCGUCGUAUUGGCUCCCAGAAGCUAUCUUCACAAUUUUGACCUCGGAUCAGGUAGGGAUACCCGCUGAACUUAAGCAUAUCAAUAAGCGGAGGA
Molecule: unclassified non-coding RNA, 332 nt
Filed under: soil metagenome
Description: partial contains 5.8S ribosomal RNA, internal transcribed spacer 2, and large subunit ribosomal RNA
Rfam family: 5.8S ribosomal RNA (bases 1-120)
Source: RNAcentral